This 3012-nucleotide ribosomal RNA is filed under the name Triticum aestivum (bread wheat). Its description in RNAcentral is "partial small subunit ribosomal RNA". Lineage: Eukaryota; Viridiplantae; Streptophyta; Magnoliopsida; Poales; Poaceae. The record is from RNAcentral.
AUGAUUUCCCUCCACACCUCCCCGUUCACUCUCCUGAUAAAGCUCGAGCCCGGCCGGAGGCGGCUCGCGCUGCCGCAGUAUGCCGUGCUCCGGCGGCCGGCGCCGAGGAGCGGCGUCCGCGCGGCGGCGGUGGCCGAGUCCGUCGACGCCCAGCUCCGGCAGUUCGCGCGGGGCGGGGCGACGGAGGACGACGACCGGCUGCAGAACUACGAGGCCCUCCUCGUCACCCGCUUCCUCGACAUCAUCCAGGACCUGCACGGCAGCAACUUCAGACGAGUGGUCGAGGAGUGCCUGCGGGUGUCCGCCGAGUACCAGCGCGACGCGGGCGACCGGGCGGCGAAGCUUGGCGAGCUGGGGGCGCUGUUCACGAGCCUGGACGUGGGCGACGCCAUCAUGGUGUCCAGCUCCCUGUCGCACAUGCUCAACCUGGCCAACCUCGCGGAGGAGAUCCAGAUGGUGUACCAGAAGAAGAUGGAGACGAGCCGGCGCGGCGGCUUCGCCGACGAGGCCCUGGCGCCCACCGAGUCGGACAUCGACGAGACCUUCCAGCGGAUGGUGGGCGGGCUGGGCAAGACGCCCCAGGAGGUGUUCGACGCGCUCAGGUCCCAGACCAUCGACCUCGUCUUCACCGCGCACCCCACCCAGUCCAUCCGGCGCUCGCUCCUCGAGAAGCACGCCAGCAUCCGGACGUGCCUGACGCAGCUGUGCGUGGAGGGCGUGUCCGAGAACGAGAAGCAGGAGAUCGACGAGGCACUGCAGAGGGAGAUCCUGGCGGCGUUCAGGACGGACGAGAUCCGGCGGACGCCGCCGACGCCGCAGGACGAGAUGCGGGCGGGGAUGAGCUACUUCCACGACACCAUCUGGAACGGCGUGCCCAAGUUCCUCCGUCGCGUCGACACGGCGCUCAAGAACAUCGGCAUCGACGAGCGCCUCCCCUACGACGUCCCGCUCAUCCAGUUCUCCUCCUGGAUGGGCGGCGACCGCGACGGCAACCCCAGGGUCACCCCCGAGGUCACCAGGGACGUCUGCCUGCUCGCCAGGAUGAUGGCCGCCAACAUGUACUUCUCCAAGAUGGGCAGCCUCAUGUUCGAGCUUUCUAUGUGGCGUUGUAACGACGAGCUCCGGGCCCGGGCCGACGAGCUGCACCGGCUGUCCUCCCGGAAGUACGCCAAGUACUACAUCGAGUUUUGGAAGCAGAUUUCUCCGCGUGAGCCCUACCGCAUCAUCCUCGGCGAUGUCAGGGACAAGCUGUACAACACCUGCGAGCGCGCUCGAGAGAUCCUGUCCAAUGGAGAAUCGAGCAUCCCAGAAGAAGAUACCUACACGAGGGUCGAGGAGUUCUUGGAGCCUCUGGAGCUGUGCUACCGAUCGCUGUGCGACUGCGGGGACAAGCUGAUCGCCGACGGCAGCCUGCUGGACUUCAUGCGCCAGGUCUCCACCUUCGGCCUCUGCCUCCUCAAGCUGGACAUCCGGCAGGAGUCGGACCGCCACAUCGACGCCGUCGACGCCAUCACCACGCACCUCGGCAUCGGCUCCUACCGGGACUGGCCCGAGGAGCAGCGCCAGGAGUGGCUCGUCAACGAGCUCCGCGGCAACCGCCCGCUCUUCGGCCCGGACCUGCCACAGUCCGACGAGGUCGCGGACGUGCUCGGCACCUUCCGGGUCAUCUCCGAGCUCCCCGCCGACAGCUUCGGGGCCUACGUCAUCUCCAUGGCCACCGCGCCGUCCGACGUGCUCGCCGUCGAGCUGCUGCAGCGUGAGUGCGGCGUCAAGAAGCCCAUGAGAGUCGUGCCGCUGUUCGAGAAGCUCGCGGACCUUCAGCAGGCGCGCGCCACCAUGGAGCUCCUCUUCUCCAUCGACUGGUACAAGGAGAGGAUCAAUGGCAAGCAGGAGAUCAUGAUCGGGUACUCGGACUCGGGCAAGGACGCCGGCCGGCUGUCGGCGGCGUGGUAUCUCUACAAGGCCCAGGAGGAGAUCGUGGACGUGGCGGAGCAGCACGGCGUGAAGCUCACCAUCUUCCACGGCCGGGGCGGCACCGUGGGGCGCGGUGGCGGGCCGAGCCACCUCGCCAUCCUGUCGCAGCCGCCCAACACCGUCAACGGCUCGCUCCGGGUGACCGUCCAGGGCGAGGUGAUCGAGAAGUCGUUCGGGGAGGAUAACCUCUGCUUCCGCACGCUGCAGAGGUUCACGGCGGCGACGCUGGAGCACGGCAUGAACCCGCCCGUGUCCCCGAAGCCGGAGUGGCGUGCGCUGCUGGACGACAUGGCCACGGUGGCCACCGAGGAGUACCGGUCCAUCGUGUUCCAGGAGCCGCGCUUCGUGGAGUACUUCCGGUCGGCGACGCCGGAGACGGAGUACGGGCGGAUGAACAUCGGCAGCCGGCCGUCGAAGCGGAAGCCGGGCGGCGGCAUCGAGUCGCUGCGCGCCAUCCCGUGGAUCUUCGCGUGGACGCAGACGCGGUUCCACCUCCCCGUGUGGCUGGGCUUCGGCGCCGCGUUCCGGCACGCCAUGGACAAGCCCGGCGGCCUCGCCACGCUCCGUGAGAUGUACGACGAGUGGCCCUUCUUCCGCGUCACCAUCGACCUCCUCGAGAUGGUCUUCGCCAAGGGCGACCCCGGCAUCGCCGCGCUCUACGACAAGCUCCUCGUCCCCCAAGACCUCUGGCCCUUCGGCGAGCAGCUCAGAGCCAACUACGCCGAGACACAGAGCCUCCUCCUGAAGGUUGCUGGGCACGAAGACCUGCUGGAGAGCGACCCGUACCUGAGGCAGCGGCUGUUGCUGCGGGACUCGUACAUCACGGCGCUCAACGUGUGCCAGGCGUACACUCUGAAGAGGAUCAGGGACGGCGAGUUCAGGCCGGCGACGCGACCGCCGCUGUCCAAGGAGUUCAUCGACGAGACGGCAGAGAGCUUGAUGGAGCUCAACCCCAGCAGCGAGUACGACCCCGGGCUGGAGGACACGCUCAUCCUCACCAUGAAGGGAAUCGCCGCGGGCAUGCAGAACACGGGCUGA